UAGUAAUGAAUUUUAAAUCAUAACAAAAACAAAACUUUUAACAACGGAUCUCUUGGCUCUCGCAUCGAUGAAGAACGCAGCGAAAUGCGAUAAGUAAUGUGAAUUGCAGAAUUCAGUGAAUCAUCGAAUCUUUGAACGCACCUUGCGCCCUUUGGUAUUCCGAAGGGCAUGCCUGUUUGAGUGUCAUGAAACCUCACCCCACUUGGGUUUUUGCCUGAGCGGUGGUGUAUUGGGUGUUGCCUUGGUAAAGGCUCGCCUUAAAGACAUAAGCACCUUGGAUGUAUUACGUUUCAUCCUUCUGGGUGGCUGAUAACCCCACAUAUUCAUGAUCUGGCCUCAAAUCAGGU
This 347-nucleotide ribosomal RNA is filed under the name Cryptococcus sp. HH1. Its description in RNAcentral is "eukaryotic LSU rRNA". The stretch from base 33 to 186 matches the Rfam family "5.8S ribosomal RNA". Lineage: Eukaryota; Fungi; Basidiomycota; Tremellomycetes; Tremellales; Cryptococcaceae. The record is from RNAcentral.